UGCCCCUUGAAUUUUCCAUUUAUAGAAACUAAAAAAAAAAUCCAAAUAUUUUGAUUUAUCUUUCCAAAUAUAGAACACCAAGAUUGUCCUAAAUAUCCACUUAAACUCCAAGAAACAUUACCGCUGCACUGAAAUUUCCAAGAGCGAGAGAGAGAGAUUAAAGACUGAAAAUUUCAGAUCCCAAAAGAAACAGAAAACUGCUUUGGAUGGCAAUUUAUGGAUCUGGGUUAGUGUAAGGAUGGUCAGCUAGUUUUGCAUAGAUGCAAUCCAGGUUGAUAUCUUUUAAUGGUCUAAGAUCUAAAACAGAAUAUAAAAAUGGUUGCUUUUCUUACACUAUAUUAAUGCAAGCAAGGAAGGGAGAAAGACCAAUCACAGACACAGCUGUAUAAGCGCACGAACUUUGAAAGUCUUUGAAACCGCGUUU
This 424-nucleotide unclassified non-coding RNA is filed under the name Hevea brasiliensis (rubber tree). Lineage: Eukaryota; Viridiplantae; Streptophyta; Magnoliopsida; Malpighiales; Euphorbiaceae. The record is from RNAcentral.